Molecule: long non-coding RNA, 341 nt
Filed under: Volvox carteri
Lineage: Eukaryota; Viridiplantae; Chlorophyta; Chlorophyceae; Chlamydomonadales; Volvocaceae
Description: long non-coding RNA (VCAR_LNC003732)
Source: RNAcentral
AGAAAUAAGCGCACAAGGCCCGGCACCGCGCAAACGUGGAUGUGCACAAUUUCGAAGAUGCGCACAGAGAGGAGUUGAGCCUGCUUAGGCAGAUCGGAUAGCAUAAAUAAAUCUGCGCACGGCGCGCAAAACUGAAGAUGCGCAAAGUUGGAGGCGCGCACAAAGCGAAACCCGGAAAGGCACAAGGCUCAGCACAGUUGCGCUCGGUGGAGAGUGGAACUUAAGCGGGAGCACGUUAUUAUGCGGAAUGGUACAUGCGCAAAGCCGGUGUGCUGGCUGAUGGCUGAUGCUGGCUGCUGGCUGAUUCCUGAAUUGCGCGGAACCACUAGGCGCUGUGCUCC